UUAAGUUCAGCGGGUAUUCCUACCCGAUCCGAGGUCAACUUGAAUUGAUUAAGGUUAACGGCGUGGCCGCCCGUCCAGCUAGCGAGAUUGUACAACGCUUGAGAGAUUGGGGUCGUCCAGCCGGCGAAAUCGGGGCGCGGGGAGGUCCCGCCGCCCAAUACCAAGCCAGGCUUGAUGGGUGUUAAUGACGCUCGAACGGG
Molecule: unclassified non-coding RNA, 200 nt
Filed under: Capnodiales sp.
Lineage: Eukaryota; Fungi; Ascomycota; Dothideomycetes; Capnodiales
Description: partial internal transcribed spacer 2
Source: RNAcentral